This 221-nucleotide long non-coding RNA is filed under the name Carica papaya (papaya). RNAcentral describes it as "long non-coding RNA (CPAP_LNC003856)". The record is from RNAcentral. Lineage: Eukaryota; Viridiplantae; Streptophyta; Magnoliopsida; Brassicales; Caricaceae.
GUCUUAGGUUUAUUUUCGCUAUAGCAAGAAUUGGGACCAAAUGCAAAAACGAGAUGGGCAAUUGAGGUAGUUGACAUUUGAUGAAAAUGAUAUUGUCCCCCUUAAAUGAAAGUUCCGUUUCCCCCUUCAAGAUCUUUAUCGAAUUUAGACAACUCUUAUCCCAACUUGAGUUGUUUUCAUAUUUAGCCUCCAGAGGUAACUUGAGAUUACGCCACUAGACC